Molecule: ribosomal RNA, 1346 nt
Filed under: uncultured bacterium
Lineage: Bacteria
Description: partial 16S ribosomal RNA
Rfam family: Bacterial small subunit ribosomal RNA
Source: RNAcentral
GACGAACGUUUGCGGCGUGCUUAACACAUGCAAGUCGAACGGAAAGGCCCUGCUUUUGUGGGGUGCUCGAGUGGCGAACGGUUGAGUAACACGUGAGUAACCUGCCCUUGACUUUGGGAUAACUUCAGGAAACUGGGGCUAAUACCGGAUAGGAGCUCCUGCUGCAUGGUGGGGGUUGGAAAGUUUCGGCGGUUGGGGAUGGACUCGCGGCUUAUCAGCUUGUUGGUGGGGUAGUGGCUUACCAAGGCUUUGACGGGUAGCCGGCCUGAGAGGGUGACCGGCCACAUUGGGACUGAGAUACGGCCCAGACUCCUACGGGAGGCAGCAGUGGGGAAUAUUGCACAAUGGGCGGAAGCCUGGUGCAGCAACGCCGCGUGCGGGAUGACGGCCUUCGGGUUGUAAACCGCUUUCGCCUGUGACGAAGCGUGAGUGACGGUAAUGGGUAAAGAAGCACCGGCUAACUACGUGCCAGCAGCCGCGGUGAUACGUAGGGUGCGAGCGUUGUCCGGAUUUAUUGGGCGUAAAGGGCUCGUAGGUGGUUGAUCGCGUCGGAAGUGUAAUCUUGGGGCUUAACCCUGAGCGUGCUUUCGAUACGGGUUGACUUGAGGAAGGUAGGGGAGAAUGGAAUUCCUGGUGGAGCGGUGGAAUGCGCAGAUAUCAGGAGGAACACCAGUGGCGAAGGCGGUUCUCUGGGCCUUUCCUGACGCUGAGGAGCGAAAGCGUGGGGAGCGAACAGGCUUAGAUACCCUGGUAGUCCACGCUGUAAACGGUGGGUACUAGGUGUGGGGUCCAUUCCACGGGUUCCGUGCCGUAGCUAACGCUUUAAGUACCCCGCCUGGGGAGUACGGCCGCAAGGCUAAAACUCAAAGGAAUUGACGGGGCCCCGCACAAGCGGCGGAGCAUGCGGAUUAAUUCGAUGCAACGCGUAGAACCUUACCUGGGUUUGACAUGGAUCGGGAGUGCUCAGAGAUGGGUGUGCCUCUUUUGGGGUCGGUUCACAGGUGGUGCAUGGCUGUCGUCAGCUCGUGUCGUGAGAUGUUGGGUUAAGUCCCGCAACGAGCGCAACCCUUGUUCACUGUUGCCAGCACGUUAUGGUGGGGACUCAGUGGAGACCGCCGGGGUCAACUCGGAGGAAGGUGGGGAUGACGUCAAGUCAUCAUGCCCCUUAUGUCCAGGGCUUCACGCAUGCUACAAUGGCUGGUACAGAGAGUGGCGAGCCUGUGAGGGUGAGCGAAUCUCGGAAAGCCGGUCUCAGUUCGGAUUGGGGUCUGCAACUCGACCUCAUGAAGUCGGAGUCGCUAGUAAUCGCAGAUCAGCAACGCUGCGGUGAAUACGUUCCCGGGGCU